UACGUAGGGUGCAAGCGUUGUCCGGAAUUAUUGGGCGUAAAGAGCUCGUAGGCGGUCUGUUACGUCGGCUGUGAAAACCUGGGGCUCAACCCCGGGCCUGCAGCCGAUACGGGCAGACUAGAAUUCGGUAGGGGAGACUGGAAUUCCUGGUGUAGCGGUGGAAUGCGCAGAUAUCAGGAGGAACACCAGUGGCGAAGGCGGGUCUCUGGGCCGACAUUGACGCUGAGGAGCGAAAGCGUGGGGAGCGAACAGG
RNAcentral lists this ribosomal RNA (253 nucleotides) under uncultured bacterium. RNAcentral's name for it is "partial 16S ribosomal RNA". It matches the Rfam family "Bacterial small subunit ribosomal RNA", at positions 524 to 776 of the family's 1533-position model. The record is from RNAcentral.